Molecule: long non-coding RNA, 916 nt
Filed under: Lathyrus oleraceus (garden pea)
Lineage: Eukaryota; Viridiplantae; Streptophyta; Magnoliopsida; Fabales; Fabaceae
Description: Pisum sativum (pea) long non-coding RNA (PSAT_LNC005793)
Source: RNAcentral
AAUUAUUUAAUAACCCUCAAGAUCCAAUUUCAUAUUAUAUUAAAUUUUUGAACAUUUAUAAUAAAAUAAAUAUUAAAAAGAGAUUAUAAAAUAUAAAAAUCAAAAAAUUUAUAACAACAAAUGUAAAAAAAUAUGUAGAGCAUGAUAAAUAAGUAAACUAAAAAAACUCAACAUUCAAAUUGAAUAUGAAUUAUCACAAAAGGCAGAACAUCAACAAAAAAAAAAGGUAAUGAAAUAUAAAAAAAAAACAUAUUCUUUUCCGAUAAGCAGAACAGUAGUAACAUGUGGGGACUCCAGAAAUUCCAACAACUUUUCAGAAAUUCGAUCAAGCUACAAAUACUUUCUCACCUUAACAUCAACUACAAAACCAAUAAUGCAAACAAAUUAAUCAAAAACCACUUGCAAUAGUAAGUUUCUUCCUAACCCCAUUUUUCAUAACAAUUCAUUAAUCAUUACACAAAGAAUUAAGAGAAGAGUGCAAGAGAUUCAAUUAAGCCAGGUAAAAACCUACAACCUAGGCAAAAGAACUUUAAGACUGUUUCACCUAAAAAUGAAAGAAAACAUAGUUUGACCUAAAGGUGAAAGAAACAAAAACCUUGAGACUGUUUCACUUGAUAAAGAAAAUAUUAAACAAAAUUAAUAAAGUAAAAUUAUCGAACCCAAAGAAUAACCUUAAAAAAAGAAACUAAAAAUGAAACAAAUAUUAGUCAUAAAUACCUAAAGUAGAAGACAAAAUAUUAAAUGGAAAACUAGAAAAACAGAAAUAUGAAAACAUAUAUGGGAAAAUAAUAAAAAUCAAAACUCUUAAAAGAUAAAAAAAUCAAACAAACCAUAUUAAGUUAAAAAAACAAAGCAUAUCAAAUUACCUGAAAAAUAUGAAACGAACUUGAAAAAAGGAAGUAUAAAAAUAUUGAUG